UUGUCUUUCAUCUUUUUUUUCAGGUGAAAGGUUUACUUAUACGUUUUCCACAAAUGAAACCAACUAAAAUCUCCUAAGCUCGGAAAUGAAGCACAGAGUCUGUCUGAAGGAGGCUGGCUCAUCAGAGCUGCUCAGCUGCAGAGCGUACACUGAGGCUCUGCCACCCACCACUUGAACAUGAGACGGGUUCCAAUUAAAAGGAAGCCAAGCAGGAAUAAAUAUGAAUGGCAGCCAAUCUUCUACCAACUCUUCAUACCAGAGUAUUACAAAGGGCAGAGGAAGGUAUAUGCUAUUGUCUUGGCAUUUUGGACACUACUAUCUGUGGAGUUAAAAACAAUAAAACAAC
This 346-nucleotide long non-coding RNA is filed under the name Callithrix jacchus (white-tufted-ear marmoset). RNAcentral's name for it is "lncRNA (ENSCJAG00000074688.1)". The record is from RNAcentral. Lineage: Eukaryota; Metazoa; Chordata; Mammalia; Primates; Cebidae.